AAGUAAGUAGCCACUCCGAUAAACAAACCUGAGUUGCCUUUUCCCCUUCUCUGCCUCCACCUAUUAGACAGCCUGCUCGACCUUCCCAGCCAUGUCAGCAUUAUGGUCACUCGUAUGGUGACCUACCCUGUCAGCGUAUCAAUCAUGUCUGCUAUCAGUGUGGAAGCACCCAGCACCUCACAAAGGACUUCCCCCAACAGCCAAAGGAUGUGGC
This 214-nucleotide long non-coding RNA is filed under the name Carica papaya (papaya). Its description in RNAcentral is "long non-coding RNA (CPAP_LNC009008)". The record is from RNAcentral. Lineage: Eukaryota; Viridiplantae; Streptophyta; Magnoliopsida; Brassicales; Caricaceae.